CGUCGGCACCUCGCCCAUUGGCUCAUCGACGCGGCGUGAAUGGUUAGUGCGCCAACUUCACUGCGACUGCUUCGAUGGAACUCAUUGUCAGUUGUAGUGUACCAAGAGAUGCAGACUUCAGCACAGAAACUAUAAGAAUUUAAUGAUUUUUUAUAAGAAUAGCAUUAGGGUUUGUAAGAAAAUUACGAGAAUGCGAGGGAUAGGAUCGUAUUGCAAAAUGUGGGCGUAUUAAAUCAACACUGGAACUCGGAUUUUAUUCUAAUACUUGUACUUUAGUAUUAAUCAGCGAUAUGGACACGUCCACGAUCAAGAUAAGAGUGUCCUGUAGACAAAACGUUAGCCGUGAGGACGCCUACGUCACCAUGGCUCUUUUCCUACCGAGUUUAUGACGCUUUGUCCUUGCGUGGAAAACCCGUGACGUAGUAACCGUGAAAUACCGUUGCCGAGGUGCGCACGGUCCGCUCUAACAGUUGUAUUUUUAAAAUUUCUAACAGGUCUUUAUAUAAAAUAACGUAAAAAGUAAGUCUUGUUAAAGUGUCAUUUUUCCAGCCUGUGCCCUUAAAGUUGUAUUUAUCUUCUGGGAAAUAUGUAGUACAUAAAGAAGGAAUACGAAGAAGAAUGCAGAUAAUUUUCAUAUAUAAAACAAAAUUACACUAAUUUUAACUGGCUAAUCGUUUUAUUGCUUUUUACUCCAAUAUACAGUAUAUAUGUGUUUUUUGUAACUAAAUUGGAUCUGACAACUUCCUGCUAGAAAUAAAUGAAAAAAUAUUACGGAAUAAAUAGAGUUUACGCUAUAAUGAAUAGUAAUUAUAAUUAGAUGUACAUUCGCGAUCAAAUCAAGUUUCUCUAGAGAAAAUGGCGACAUAGAGAAGCAUGAAUUUUCAAAACCUUGGUUUUGAUAAUAUUAAUAUAACCCUCCGACUACUGCGAUUUCUCUCUGUGCCGGAGUCACUUUUGACUCACACCGAUAUUUCACUAGUCAUGUUAGUGGUCGCUCGAGAAUGCUCGAGAACCCCACCGACCUAUUCCAAACAAACGAUCGCCCGAGGUCGAAGAUUUCAUCAAUAUAAUAUUACAAAAUGAUUAAUUUUAUAUCACGUUAGGAUUUUCGUUGUGGAUCACGGGAAAAUGAAAAUCUUCUGAAUUGUGAGAAAAAUUAUUGUGAUUCUAUUUGGUUAUGGUACUGAGAAGUUUGCGUCGUUUGCUUCUGUAUUGUAUGUUUUACGAGGGGAACUACGUAAUAGUUAUUUAAAAGGAGACAAAUUGUCAUUAAAAA
This is a non-coding RNA of Osmia lignaria (orchard mason bee), 1276 nucleotides long. The record is from RefSeq and is a predicted model, not a curated record. Lineage: Eukaryota; Metazoa; Arthropoda; Insecta; Hymenoptera; Megachilidae.